Molecule: long non-coding RNA, 204 nt
Filed under: Mytilus galloprovincialis (Mediterranean mussel)
Lineage: Eukaryota; Metazoa; Mollusca; Bivalvia; Mytilida; Mytilidae
Source: RNAcentral
CUGGCAAAUGAAUUUUAAUCCUGAGAAGUGUUAUGUAAUUCAUAUUUCUAAAAAAAGUAAACCUUCCGUUUUUGAUUAUAUAUUGCACAAUCAUGUUUUAGAAGCAGUAAAAGACAGUAAAUAUUUAGGCGUAACUAUAAGCCAUGAUCUUGAUUGGGGAACACAUAUAAACAAUAUUACCUGUAAGGCAAAUAAAACCUUAGG